Molecule: ribosomal RNA, 850 nt
Filed under: uncultured bacterium
Lineage: Bacteria
Description: bacterial SSU rRNA
Rfam family: Bacterial small subunit ribosomal RNA
Source: RNAcentral
CNNGNUACGANUUCGCCCUUGAGUUUGAUCAUGGCUCANGAUGAACGCUAGCGGCAGGCUUAACACAUGCCAAGCUCGAGGGGCAGCAUGUCCAGCAAUGGAUGAUGGCGACCGGCGGAAGGGUGCGUAACGCGUGAGCAACAUGCCCUAUACAGGGAGAUACACCAGGGAAACUUGGUCUAACAUCCCAUAGCAUUCAUUGAAGGCAUCUUUAAUGAAUUAAAGCUUCGGUGGUAUAGGAUUGGCUCGCGUGACAUUAGCCAGAUGGUGAGGUAACGGCUCACCAUAGCAAUGAUGUCUAGGGGUUUUGAGAGGAAGGCCCCCCACACUGGGACUGAGACACGGCCCAGACUCCUACGGGAGGCAGCAGUGAGGAAUAUUGGACAAUGGAUGGAAAUCUGAUCCAGCCAUGCCGCGUGCAGGAAGACGGCCUUAUGGGUUGUAAACUGCUUUUAUACGGGAGCAAUAAGGGUUACGAGUAAUCCGAUGAGAGUACUGUAUGAAUAAGGAUCGGCUAACUCCGUGCCAGCAGCCGCGGUAAUACGGAGGAUCCGAGCGUUAUCCGGAAUUAUUGGGUUUAAAGGGUGCGUAGGCGGCCAUUUAAGUCAGCGGUGAAAUUUUGCAGCUUAACUGUAACAGUGCCGUUGAUACUGUUUGGCUAGGAUUUGGUUGUAGUGUGCGGAAUGUGUGGUGUAGCGGUGAAAUGCUUAGAUAUCACACAGAACACCGAUUGCGAAGGCAGCACACUAAGUCAUUAUUGACGCUGAGGCACGAAAGUGUGGGGAUCAAACAGGAUUAGAUACCCUGGUAGUCCACACUGUAAACGAUGAUAACUCGCUGUCGGCGAUAC